AACCAAAUCCCUAGAAAUUUAACAUUGGUAACAACAGCAGUUGAUAGUGACAACCCAUGUUGCAUUAAAUAAUCAGCAAGAUAUUCAAGUGCACAAUUUAACUGAUUGGAUGAAUCCUGUAUGGACUUGUUGGAAGUAUACAGAACAAUAUCAUCUGCAUAUUGCAGUAUUUGGCAGAAGGGGGAUACAGAGCUAUUGAGGUCAUAUGUAUACAGAUUGUAGAGAAGGGGACUAAGGACUGAGCCUUGAGAAACUUUUGCAAGAGUAGAAGAGAGGGCAAUUGGUCUAUAACUUGUGGCUUCAGAUGGAUUCUGACCAGGUUUAAGAAUUGGUAUUAUUACCUGAUUUUUCCAGGGUGGAGGGAUGACCCCAAAAGUC
Leptidea sinapis is the source of this 378-nucleotide long non-coding RNA. RefSeq lists it as uncharacterized. The transcript is spliced from 3 exons. The record is from RefSeq and is a predicted model, not a curated record. Lineage: Eukaryota; Metazoa; Arthropoda; Insecta; Lepidoptera; Pieridae.